RNAcentral lists this ribosomal RNA (669 nucleotides) under uncultured Alphaproteobacteria bacterium. RNAcentral's name for it is "bacterial SSU rRNA". It matches the Rfam family "Bacterial small subunit ribosomal RNA", at positions 44 to 759 of the family's 1533-position model. Lineage: Bacteria; Pseudomonadati; Pseudomonadota; Alphaproteobacteria. The record is from RNAcentral.
AGGCUUAACACAUGCAAGUCGAGCGGGCCCUUCGGGGUCAGCGGCGGACGGGUGAGUAACGCGUGGGAACGUGCCUUCUGGUUCGGAAUAACCCUGGGAAACUAGGGCUAAUACCGGAUACGCCCUUUUGGGGAAAGGUUUACUGCCGGAAGAUCGGCCCGCGUCUGAUUAGCUAGUUGGUGGGGUAACGGCCUACCAAGGCGACGAUCAGUAGCUGGUCUGAGAGGAUGAUCAGCCACACUGGGACUGAGACACGGCCCAGACUCCUACGGGAGGCAGCAGUGGGGAAUAUUGGACAAUGGGCGCAAGCCUGAUCCAGCCAUGCCGCGUGAGUGAUGAAGGCCUUAGGGUUGUAAAGCUCUUUUAUCCGGGACGAUAAUGACGGUACCGGAGGAAUAAGCCCCGGCUAACUUCGUGCCAGCAGCCGCGGUAAUACGAAGGGGGCUAGCGUUGCUCGGAAUCACUGGGCGUAAAGGGCGCGUAGGCGGCGUUUUAAGUCGGGGGUGAAAGCCUGUGGCUCAACCUCAGAAUGGCCUUCGAUACUGGGACGCUUGAGUAUGGUAGAGGUUGGUGGAACUGCGAGUGUAGAGGUGAAAUUCGUAGAUAUUCGCAAGAACACCGGUGGCGAAGGCGGCCAACUGGACCAUUACUGACGCUGAGGCGCGAAAG